Molecule: ribosomal RNA, 330 nt
Filed under: uncultured Desulfobacca sp.
Lineage: Bacteria; Pseudomonadati; Thermodesulfobacteriota; Desulfobaccia; Desulfobaccales; Desulfobaccaceae
Description: bacterial SSU rRNA
Rfam family: Bacterial small subunit ribosomal RNA
Source: RNAcentral
GUCGUCAGCUCGUGUCGUGAGAUGUUGGGUUAAGUCCCGCAACGAGCGCAACCCCUAUUGUUAGUUGCCAUCAUUCAGUUGGGCACUCUAGCGAGACUGCCGGUAAUAAACCGGAGGAAGGUGGGGAUGACGUCAAGUCCUCAUGGCCUUUAUGCCCAGGGCUACACACGUGCUACAAUGGAUCGUACAAAGGGUCGCGAACCCGCGAGGGGGAGCCAAUCCCAAAAACCGGUCCUCAGUUCGGAUUGGAGUCUGCAACUCGACUCCAUGAAGUUGGAAUCGCUAGUAAUCGUGGAUCAGCAUGCCACGGUGAAUACGUUCCCGGGCCUU